Molecule: ribosomal RNA, 484 nt
Filed under: uncultured bacterium
Lineage: Bacteria
Description: partial 16S ribosomal RNA
Rfam family: Bacterial small subunit ribosomal RNA
Source: RNAcentral
AUUGAACGCUGGCGGCAGGCCUAACACAUGCAAGUCGAGCGGAUGAAGGGAGCUUGCUCCUGGAUUCAGAGGCGGACGGGUGAGUAAUGCAUAGGAAUCUGCCUGGCAGUGGGGGAUAACGUCCGGAAACGGGCGCUAAUAACGCAUACGACCUGAGGGAGAAAGAGGGGGAGCUUCGGACAUCACGCUAGGAGAUGAGCCUAGGUCGGAUUAGCUAGUUGGUGGGGUAAAGGCCUACCAAGGCGACGAUCCGUAACUGGUCUGAGAGGAUGAUCAGUCACACUGGAACUUAGACACGCUCCAGACUCCUACGGUAGGCAGCAGUGUGGAAUAGUAGACAAUGGUCGAAAGCCUUAUCCAGCCAUGCCGAGUGUGUGAAGAAGGUCUUCCGAUUGUAAAGCACGUUAACUUGUUAUGAAGCGCAGUAAGUUAAUACCUUGCUUUUUUGACGUUACCAACAGAAUAAGCACCGGCUAACUUCGUG